Molecule: non-coding RNA, 372 nt
Organism: Camellia sinensis
Lineage: Eukaryota; Viridiplantae; Streptophyta; Magnoliopsida; Ericales; Theaceae
Source: RefSeq, a predicted model, not a curated record
GAUCAUCUAGAUGGAAGCAUUCUUGCCUGCCAUCCAAAAUUUUAUGCAAUUUUGAAAAGGUUAGGGGGUUGAAAUUUGAAGGAAAAAAAAAAGAUUUUUUUUGAAAUUGAUGUUGAUAUGGAUAUUGAAAUUUUUUCAUCAGGCAUAAACAGACUUAAUUAUUAUUUACUUGAUAUGUUGGAUAAUCUAUUUGGGUAUAUCAAACUGACAUCUUUCUCUCAGUGAAAUAAAUGCAGGAUUUUUCUACUCAAGUGCAGAGCAGAGAGAGACAAUGGUUGCAGCAGAAAGGCGUUCAGUCGAUGUGAGAGUAAGGAAAAUCAUUGAGCUAAAGGACAAGGUCUGCUCCGAUAACGAUUACAACUUUGUUGUUAU